UCCCGCACUUCACCAGCAAUUAUUUUUUUAUUCAACCAUCUUUUUUGAAAAUUUUAAGUUUCAGUAUAAACUAAAUUAUAUAAUGCACCAUGGCCUGCCAAUUAAACACUCAUUCUUAUAUUUCUUCCAAUAAAAUAUUGUAAUUUAAAUGUUCAACCCCCCCCUAAAAUCAUGUUGUCCCCUGUGUUUUUUUGAAAACUAAAUCAUUCAAAUAAUAUCCAAAUUAAUUAAACAGGCGUCCGAUUCUCACAUAUAUGAUAUAUUAUAUAAUAAACUUGCCCCUAAUUUGUCUUUUUAUAUUAUAACUAUAGCAUGUAAUAAAAUUUUGCAAAUAAUAAGAGAAAAAAAAUUUGUCCCCAGGGGUGAUUUCCCUCCUGUAACCACUGUUUUUUUUUUACCUGUGCAAACGUUUACAAGACCAAGAGUUAUUUUCCCAUUAUGUAUUGUGAAGAGCAUCAUUUCCUGAAUGCAUUAGUACAAAGAAAUAGUUGGAAAGGCGGCCAGGUUUGAAAAUUCAAGCCCAUCCAAGGUAAGAAUUUAUAGAAAAAUACUUAUUGGUGUUCUAUCCUGUUACAGCCUUUUCUUACACUUUCUGAGA
Molecule: long non-coding RNA, 598 nt
Filed under: Mytilus galloprovincialis (Mediterranean mussel)
Lineage: Eukaryota; Metazoa; Mollusca; Bivalvia; Mytilida; Mytilidae
Source: RNAcentral